CUGGGCGGGGUGUCAGCAGGCAUCUGCCACAGGAGGGGCAGUGGGUGGGAGCAGUGCAAAGACUGGAGAUACACCCUCGGGGGUGUAGGGUUUGGGGAGAAGAAAGGUCUGGAGUGGCAGUGAGGAGCAGAGGGUGGCUACCCCAUCUCCAGCCUAGUGGCCUAAGGGUGUGAGGAAGAAAAUGGCCAUCACUCAGAAGGGCUACAGGACAAGUGGUGUCCUCAGGUUUUCGUCAGAGCACGGGGGAAGGAAAUGAUCAUGGAAGAGGCCGAGGAUAGCAGAGAUUUUGCCUAGGGCUGGGUUUGUCAUCUGGCAGGGGCAAUAGGGGAUUCCAGAAACGGAGUUGGCAGACAUGGGUCAGUAAAGAGGAUGAUGUGCAGAUGCCUCAGAGCCCAGAGCUUCCUGCAGUGGCUCAUGUAGCAGGGGUAGGGGACCAACCAGAAGGUCACCAGAGCAUGAGCAGCUGGCGGAGGGAGGGUAGGGUGUCUUGCCAGAGCAUGCCAAGUUCUGGGGUUCCCUUUUGGCUCCAGCUAACGGAAGUGCCAAGGCUGAGGGAAUAAGGCUGCCUUCGGUGUUUGGAGCUCCCUCCUAACUCCUGCUGUUAGGGGCAUGGAGGGAGGCCACAGCAAGGCACAGCAAGAAUGCAGGCUCGCUUGGGGAAAAGCAGCUUGCUGGAAGGUCGUCCUAGGCUCCGAGGCCUCCCUGGACAGUAGCAGUGGGAGUUCACGUCUCUUAUGUUCAGUUUCUGCUGCUAAGACUUGGUAACCAACAUUCAGAUUCUCUUGCUCUCAGCUCAGAUUUGGGAUUUGGACUUGCUCAAUCGACAGAAUCAGGUGAUACCAAUGUGUCUUCUGGGAGCCACCUCUCUGGAUUGUGGGGAGAAGAUGGGGAGUUUAGAGUCAUCUCUUCACGGGUUUGGGUAUCCAGAUAGAAAAUAACAUCAGCUGCUGGGACAUUAUAUUUUGGCAGUUUUAGCAGGGAUUGUGAAAGCCCCAUGGCAACAAAGUUCUGGACGGAGAGUUAAAUAGAGCCUGUGGAUCUUUGAUAGGAGCGUCUGGCGGGCGCGCGAGCACACAGACGUUUCCAGGGGGCGCUCUGAGGGCCCCGCGCCCUCGCCGCCGCCGCAGGUGAAGGCGGCUGCGCCCGGCGCGUCCCCUACCUGCGCUUGCGAACGGCGCCCACGCACGUCCACGACCCAGGGCACCACCCACCUGGGCUGCGAGAGCGCGGCUGCGAUCAGAGUGUUUAGAGACGAGGAGCUACUGGCUGAUUACUGCAGGCACAACAUCUUUGGAAACUGAUUCCCAGGAGGAAGGAGUGAGACACCCGAGCUGAGUCAGCCUCAGUUACUCUUUUGCUUUUCACCAAUCAUGAGAUACUUUGGGGAAGAGUAACUCCCAGAAGGAGGAAUGAGACCCAAGGUGGAGAAAGGCCAAGAGUAUUUCUCAUCUUGAAAACUAUCCUAAGCCUGUUGUCAUUCUGUAUUCUUAGCCUAGCCUGACCAGCUUUCAUAUCAAAAUGUAAAACAGUGGCCAAAAAAGAGUCUGUGAUUUUCAGUGCUUCAGUUCUCAGAUCAUUUCAUUGAGUAGAAUCCUUCUGCUUCCACCCUUCUUUAGAUGUCAAAUGUUACAUGUCAACCAGUCGGCAUCUUGAACCUUCACUGUUGGCUUGUAUUUUCCUCUUAUUUCAUGACAACUGUAAUUUAAGAUAAACAUUUAUUGAGCAUCUAAUAUUGAUAGCUAUGGGCUAGAAAUGGUGGAAUAUACAAAUAUGAUUAAAACAUUCUUCCUGCCCUCAAGGGACUUCAUUGUCUAGUAGAAAAUAAAUAUAAGGUUGUGCUAUAACCUUUAAUGUGCUUCUGAAAACAUUAUCAUACAACACCUGUGAAGUAGGGAAGGCAGAUGAUGAUCUGACAUGAAGAAUGAUGAAACAGAAACUCAGAGCUGUUAAGUUCAGGUUUGCACAGCUAAUAAGUGAUAGACUAGAACUAGAACUGG
Manis javanica (Malayan pangolin) is the source of this 1997-nucleotide non-coding RNA. Lineage: Eukaryota; Metazoa; Chordata; Mammalia; Pholidota; Manidae. The record is from RefSeq and is a predicted model, not a curated record.